CGCUAGCUACAGGCUUAACACAUGCAAGUCGAGGGGCAGCAUGGUCUUAGCUUGCUAAGGCCGAUGGCGACCGGCGCACGGGUGAGUAACGCGUAUCCAACCUGCCUUACACUCUUGGACAGCCUUCUGAAAGGGAGAUUAAUACAAGAUGUUAUCAUGAGUAAGCAUUUUCGCAUGAUUAAAGGUUUACCGGUGUAAGAUGGGGAUGCGUUCCAUUAGAUAGUAGGCGGGGUAACGGCCCACCUAGUCUUCGAUGGAUAGGGGUUCUGAGAGGAAGGUCCCCCACAUUGGAACUGAGACACGGUCCAAACUCCUACGGGAGGCAGCAGUGAGGAAUAUUGGUCAAUGGACGCAAGUCUGAACCAGCCAAGUAGCGUGCAGGAUGACGGCCCUCCGGGUUGUAAACUGCUUUUAGUUGGGAAUAAAGUGCAGCUCGUGAGCUGUUUUGUAUGUACCAUCAGAAAAAGGACCGGCUAAUUCCGUGCCAGCAGCCGCGGUAAUACGGAAGGUCCAGGCGUUAUCCGGAUUUAUUGGGUUUAAAGGGAGCGCAGGCGGACUCUUAAGUCAGUUGUGAAAUACGGCGGCUCAACCGUCGGACUGCAGUUGAUACUGGGAGUCUUGAGUGCACACAGGGAUGCUGGAAUUCAUGGUGUAGCGGUGAAAUGCUCAGAUAUCAUGAAGAACUCCGAUCGCGAAGGCAGGUAUCCGGGGUGCAACUGACGCUGAGGCUCGAAAGUGCGGGUAUCAAACAGGAUUAGAUACCCUGGUAGUCCGCACAGUAAACGAUGAAUACUCGCGGUUGGCGAUAUACAGUCAGCCGCCAAGAGAAAGCGUUAAGUAUUCCACCUGGGGAGUACGCCGGCGACGGUGAAACUCAAAGGAAUUGACGGGGGCCCGCACAAGCGGAGGAACAUGUGGUUUAAUUUGAUGAUACGCGAGGAACCUUACCCGGGCUUGAAUUGCAGAGGAAGGAUUUGGAGACAAUGACGCCUUUUGGGGCUUCUGUGAAGGUGCUGCAUGGUUGUCGUCAGCUCGUGCCGUGAGGUGUCGGCUUAAGUGCCAUAACGAGCGCAACCCUCAUCCUCGUUUGCCAUCAGGUAAUGCUGGGCACUCCGGGGAUACUGCCAUCGUAAGAUGUGAGGAAGGUGGGGAUGACGUCAAAUCAGCACGGCCCUUACGUCCGGGGCUACACACGUGUUACAAUGGGCGGUACAGAGGGCAGCCACCACGCGAGUGGGAGCUAAUCCUCAAAGCCGUUCUCAGUUCGGACUGGAGUCUGCAACCCGACUCCACGAAGCUGGAUUCGCUAGUAAUCGCGCAUCAGCCAUGGCGCGGUGAAUACGUUCCCGGGCCUUGUACACACCGCCCGUCAAGCCAUGAAAGCCGGGAGCACCUGAAGACCGUGACCGCAAGGGUCGGCCUAGGGUGAUACUGGUGAUUGGGGCUAA
This 1448-nucleotide ribosomal RNA is filed under the name uncultured organism. RNAcentral describes it as "SSU rRNA". It matches the Rfam family "Bacterial small subunit ribosomal RNA". The record is from RNAcentral.